This 497-nucleotide ribosomal RNA is filed under the name uncultured bacterium. RNAcentral's name for it is "partial 16S ribosomal RNA". It matches the Rfam family "Bacterial small subunit ribosomal RNA", at positions 28 to 507 of the family's 1533-position model. The record is from RNAcentral.
GAUGAACGCUGGCGGCGUGCCUAAUACAUGCAAGUCGAGCGAACAGACGAGGAGCUUGCUCCUCUGACGUUAGCGGCGGACGGGUGAGUAACACGUGGAUAACCUACCUAUAAGACUGGGAUAACUUCGGGAAGCCGGAGCUAAUACCGGAUAAUAUAUUGAACCGCAUGGUUCAAUAGUGAAAGACGGUUUUGCUGUCACUUAUAGAUGGAUCCGCGCCGCAUUAGCUAGUUGGUAAGGUAACGGCUUACCAAGGCGACGAUGCGUAGCCGACCUGAGAGGGUGAUCGGCCACACUGGAACUGAGACACGGUCCAGACUCCUACGGGAGGAAGCAGUAGGGAAUCUUCCGCAAUGGGCGAAAGCCUGACGGAGCAACGCCGCGUGAGUGAUGAAGGUCUUCGGAUCGUAAAACUCUGUUAUUAGGGAAGAACAAAUGUGUAAGUAACUAUGCACGUCUUGACGGUACCUAAUCAGAAAGCCACGGCUAACUACGUG